This 253-nucleotide ribosomal RNA is filed under the name uncultured bacterium. RNAcentral's name for it is "partial 16S ribosomal RNA". It matches the Rfam family "Bacterial small subunit ribosomal RNA", at positions 524 to 776 of the family's 1533-position model. The record is from RNAcentral.
UACGUAGGGGGCAAGCGUUGUCCGGAUUUAUUGGGCGUAAAGAGCGUGUAGGCGGCCGUACAGGUCAGCUGUGAAAACUCGAGGCUCAACCUCGAGACGUCGGUUGAAACCGUACGGCUAGAGUCCGGAAGAGGAGAUUGGAAUUCCCGGUGUAGCGGUGAAAUGCGCAGAUAUCAGGAGGAACACCCGUGGCGAAAGCGGCUCUCUGGGACGGUACCGACGCUGAGACGCGAAAGCGUGGGGAGCAAACAGG